This 234-nucleotide unclassified non-coding RNA is filed under the name plant metagenome. RNAcentral's name for it is "partial contains small subunit ribosomal RNA, internal transcribed spacer 1, and 5.8S ribosomal RNA". The record is from RNAcentral.
UCUCCGUUGGUGAACCAGCGGAGGGAUCAUUACCGAGUUAUUCUACUCCCAAACCCCUGUUAACUUAUACCUUUCCUAUUGCUUUGGAGGGUUAACGCCCCGUAAUGCCCGAGAUGUCCGCCGUAACCAGGCGCCCGCCGGGGGACCCAAACUCAUUUAGCUUUUGUAUCUCAUGUCUUAAUGGAAUCAUAAACAAAUGAAUAAAAACUUACAACAACGGAUCUCUUGGUUCUG